Molecule: non-coding RNA, 1208 nt
Organism: Mus caroli (Ryukyu mouse)
Lineage: Eukaryota; Metazoa; Chordata; Mammalia; Rodentia; Muridae
Source: RefSeq, a predicted model, not a curated record
UCUCAGAGACUGUUGCACUUGGAAGCUUCAGACCUGCUGUCCAGUCUAAAACCAGCGUUGCCACUUAAUGAACCAUGUCACUGGAUGCCGGCGUCACUUCAUUUCCCUAAUUCUUCUCUCUAAAGGAGGUUGAGAGAGAAAACAGAGGAGAUGAACCAUAACCUGGGUCUCCAAUUUAGGGGAAAGCAAGAAGGACAAACGAAUGAUAUGAGGACUGACAGCCAUUGGCUUCCAAGGCCAUUUGUAUGGGGACCGGAGGAGACUGGAUCCAGGUCCUCCUGGCGUGGAACUCAUUCUGGAGACCAGGCUGACCUUGCACCCACAGAGAGGCCUCUGCCACCAACCUACUGGAAUUAAAAAUGCACCACCAUGACUGGCAGCCCCUUUGAAAUUUGUUCUUUCAGAUUUACCUCAUCUAAUCCAUGAAAGCCAAAGUAGACAAUGGGUUUACAUAAAACAAACAAACAAACAAACAAAACAACAAAACAACAGCAAAAGAAACUCCAAAGAUAAAACUCAGCCCAUGGACUUGGAAGAAUAUGUUUGCAAAUCCUAAGAAUAAUUGCCAAAAUAUAAGAAGAAUGCAAACUAGAGCUGGCUGUAUGGGUUAGUGGGUAGAGGUAUUUGCCACUGACCUAACAGCCCAAGUUUCCAACACCUAAGACCCAGAUGGUAGAAGGGACAACACACACACACACACACACACACACACACAAAACCAACCCCCUGACUCCUUCAGAUUGUCUUUUGACCUCCACAUGUACACCAGACAAGUACAAGCCUGCACACAUACCAAAUAAGUAAAUAAGUGUAGAAAAUUAAAGAAUUCAAGCUAUUCAAUGUCAAGAAGACAGAAAUGACUAGAUAUCCAAAAUGACAUUUCUCAAAGGAAGGGAAAACCAAUGGUCAAAAGAUAUGUGAAAAAUGUUUGACAUCCAGAUCAUCAGAGAAAUUAAUUACAAUCUCAAUGACUUAUUGUCUCAUACCGACUAUACUGGCUAUUGUCAAGAAGUAUAAAUGGGGAUUGAAGAAUAAACCAGCAGUCAAGAGCACCCGCUGCCCAGUCGUGGGAUUCUAGUUUGGACACCAGCACCCACACCAGGUGGCUCACAACUUUCUGUAAGCCCAUCUCCAAGGGAUCUGAUGUCCUCUUCUGGACUCGUUGGGCAUCUGCAACACACGUGCACAUAGACUCUCAUAGACAUACA